This is a non-coding RNA of Turdus rufiventris (rufous-bellied thrush), 94 nucleotides long. The record is from the annotation of a GenBank genome assembly. Lineage: Eukaryota; Metazoa; Chordata; Aves; Passeriformes; Turdidae.
CAGCUCCUGGAAGGAUUGGCACUUUUUAGAAGUUUGGGAUUUUUGUCAUGGACUAUGUCGUUAGAGGAGCAUGGUCACAAUUGUGCAGAGCUGA